CACACCCUGCCCUGAUCACUUCAUCCAUAUUUUACCAGUCAGCAGCAAUCAUCCCAAGAACUAUACACACACACCCAAAUCUCCAAGGAGCCAGCAACAAGCACAAAAACAGAGAUAAGCAAACAAAGCCAUUGAGCAAAAAGCAGCUGGCUCACACGGGGCCGAGCCAGCUCAACCGUCAUCAGUAGGUCUCUGGUGCGCUGCUCUGAGAAGCGUCUGGAGGAGGCCGUGCAUAGCACAGGUACCAAGUCAUGCCAGUGCUGUGUUUUGUAACUCGAAGGAAAGUGCAUCCACACAGCUCCCCAUCGCAUGUGAGCUCACCAAGCCAAGUGGACUCAGCUGAAAUCACCACCUUUCGAGAAGCUCGAUGCUCUCCCUGCCUCUGGAACAACAAAAAGCAAAGGGACAGCAUUCACCUGCUCACAUCACUGCGAAGCCCUGGCCUCAGGGGUCUGCCAACCAGCAGGGCACAAUAUGGAUGGACAUUCAAGCUUGGGCCCCGGUCCAGGUGUGCAUGCUGCUACUGGGCGUGUCAAACACCAACUGUGUGUCCCCUGCCCCUCUGCAGGCUGUAGGGACACACGUGAAAAUGCGAGCCUGUGGUGAAGUUUUCCAGACGUGAAAUCACAACAGAUGAAUGCAAAAGUCAAUACGAGCAUCCAGCUGUCUUCUAACUAAACGUUAGCCAAACAUUAAAGAGAUCUGCAGAUGUACAAAUCAAUGUCACUCAUUUUUUU
Long non-coding RNA from Equus quagga, 737 nucleotides. RefSeq lists it as uncharacterized. Lineage: Eukaryota; Metazoa; Chordata; Mammalia; Perissodactyla; Equidae. The transcript is spliced from 3 exons. The record is from RefSeq and is a predicted model, not a curated record.